RNAcentral lists this ribosomal RNA (1043 nucleotides) under unidentified archaeon. RNAcentral describes it as "bacterial SSU rRNA". It matches the Rfam family "Archaeal small subunit ribosomal RNA", at positions 1 to 1053 of the family's 1478-position model. The record is from RNAcentral.
UCCGGUUGAUCCUGCCAGAGGCCACUGCUAUCGGGGUUUGACUAAGCCAUGCGAGUCGAGAGGUUUCUGACCUCGGCGCACUGCUCAGUAACACGUGGACAAUCUGCCCUAAAGAGGAGGAUAAUCCCGGGAAACUGGGGGUAAUACUCCAUAGUUUGUGUUUACUGGAAUGUUACGCAAACGAAAGAUCCGUCGCUUUAGGAUGAGUCUGCGGCCGAUUAGGUAGUUGUUGGGGUAACGGCCCAACAAGCCUGUCAUCGGUACGGGUUGUGGGAGCAAGAGCCCGGAGAUGGAUUCUGAGACACGAAUCCAGGCCCUACGGGGCGCAGCAGGCGCGAAAACUUUACCAUGCGGGCAACCGUGAUAAGGAAACCCCGAGUGCCAGCACAGGCUGGCUGUCCACCAGUGUAAAUAACUGGUGAAGAAAGGGCCGGGCAAGACCGGUGCCAGCCGCCGCGGUAAUACCGGCGGCUCGAGUGGUGGCCACUAUUACUGGGCUUAAAGGGUCCGUAGCUUGAUAUGCAAGUCUUUUGAGAAAUCCGCCGGCUUAACUGGUGGGCGUUCAGGGGAAACUGCAUUUUCUAGGGACCGGGAGAGGUGAGAGGUACUGCCGGGGUAGGAGUGAAAUCCUGUAAUCCCGGUGGGACCACCUAUGGCGAAGGCAUCUCACCAGAACGGGUCCGACAGUGGGGGACGAAAGCUGGGGGAGCAAACCGGAUUAGAUACCCGGGUAGUCCCAGCUGUAAACGAUGCGCGUUAGGUGUGUCAGUGACCACGUGUCACUGAGGUGCCGAAGGGAAACCGUGAAACGCGCCGCCUGGGGAGUACGGUCGCAAGGCUGAAACUUAAAGGAAUUGGCGGGGGAGCACCACAACAGGUGGAGCCUGCGGUUUAAUCGGACUCAACGCCGGGAAUCUCACCGGAUAAGACAGCUGUAUGAUAGUCGGGAUGAAGACUCUGCUUGACUAGCUGAGAGGAGGUGCAUGGCCGUCGUCAGUUCGUACUGUGAAGCAUCCUGUUUAGUCAGGUAACGAGCGAGACCC